RNAcentral lists this long non-coding RNA (1797 nucleotides) under Nasonia vitripennis (jewel wasp). RNAcentral's name for it is "uncharacterized LOC116418269". Lineage: Eukaryota; Metazoa; Arthropoda; Insecta; Hymenoptera; Pteromalidae. The record is from RNAcentral.
CAGACGUGCCGCCGACUAGGCUCUCAAGCCUUUUACAAUAUACUUCAACAAUAAAUAAACCUCAAGUUGUUGUUUAUUGAUCCAACCUUUCUCAACAAUUUUAAUCAUGGAUCAAAAUCAUAAUUAUAUAUAUACAGUAUGUCUACGAUCAAGCGUACAGAUACUUAAAUUGGUGAUUUUAGCAAAAUUAGCGGGGGUGCAAACAAAUCUUUUUUAGUGAAAAGUUAGAGUAAACUUAGCUCUAGCUUCUGUCGUUUGCUCCGUUCGAUAGGAUUUAUCAGUAAAAAAAUUGUCAGAGGUUAAAAAUAAUAAGUGCAAAAAAAAGUAUGGUAGGAUGUUUUUUAUCCUUCCAUCGCAUAGGCCGUGGCCAAUAAUGCUUAAAACCACCAAAAAACAUUAUCGUUAGAUGUAGAUUUUAUUUUUUAAUAAUUAACGAAAUAAAUUUUGUAAGAUGUGAAUUAGUUCGCGAGAGCUAGACAUGGCGACCACAGCGGAACGCGGAACAGGGCGGACCGAAGCAAGACGGUACUACACCGGUUUGUUAUUGUUAUGACUCAAGGUUAGUUCGUCUGCUAGAGGUGUCCCUGUCACAACGCUCGACUCCGAAAUCCGAGCACAGUUUUUCGCGAAACGUCGGUAGAUCGCUAAAGAAGCGAUCUCGGAGCUUUCGCGAAAGAGUGCUCAUUGAAAUUUGAUUUUUCGGAGCUCGUAAAUCUGUCAGCAGCGGUGCUUUUCCUUUUCAAUAAAAAUCCAAGCCCAGUCUCAGAAUUUAAAAAAAACAUAGUGCUCUGAAUUUUGGAGAGGUAUCGAGUUAGUUUGAGAUCUUGAAUGUCAGGCGUCCUUGGCCUGACUCGAACGUUCCUUUUUAAACGUCAUCAACAAUUCUCUGGGUUUGAGAGCAAAAUCUGCCGAAUAAUUGAGUGUGUAUGCUAAGUUUGUAUUGUAAAAGAAUUUUAAAGCAUUAUUUUCAUUAGUGCUUUAGAAAAAAAAUUACUUGAUUGUUAAUUUUUAGAUAUAAGUUACAAUUUUCAGAACCAUAAUCUAGUAAGCGGCCAGUUUGAACGGCAAUUAGGACAAUUUAAACGCGUGCUCAUUGUGCAAAUAAAAAGUAUAAUCCAUACAAAUUCUUUACGUGACAGAUCGUGUAAGAAGUUUAUUCGGGCUGCUGGUCAACUUGCCAACCUCUCCUACAUCCUGCUGCGAAUCCUUUUCCAUCGGCGCGAUCCCAUACUACUCCUACUCAGUGAAUUUGCUCUCUACCUUCUAAUCAGCUUGUUUUUGACGAAUCGUCAAUACAGAAGAUGAAUACGCAAGAUCCGUUACAUAGCCCAGUACCGAAGUGGCCAACAAGGUUGAACUCAGCGACUUCGCAGAUACCGUAACCAAAGGUUGCUGUUCAAUAGUUUAACGCGAAGAUGCAAACGUCUGCUCAAGCCACAGCUAGCCAUCGCAACUAAAUGCUGCAGAAGUUUUCUACAAGCAUCAUUAUAGGAAACGAUAAUGAUGUUCGAGAUGAUCAGUUGGCUACACCCGGACGUAAGAAAAUCGGUACGGGGAGACGCACCUCAUGUUAAACUGCUAUAAAAGCAAAUUUCUAGUUCGUCAGCUAACACCUGCAAAGCAGGUCUCCUCUAGCAGACUUGCAAUACGACAAAGACAAACGCACACUCACACUUGAGCAAAAAAUUCAUGCGUAAUUGGCAUAGCUAUAACACUGUCAGUCAUAAAUCGAUGAACUUUUCAUUUAACUUGAUCCUGUAAGUGAUUUAUAAUGAAAAUAAAAUUUGUAAUAAAGAA